Molecule: unclassified non-coding RNA, 519 nt
Filed under: Hevea brasiliensis (rubber tree)
Lineage: Eukaryota; Viridiplantae; Streptophyta; Magnoliopsida; Malpighiales; Euphorbiaceae
Source: RNAcentral
CAAGGGGCAAUGAAAACUUUUGCAGUGGACGAAACAAGUGUUAGUGGGUACAUAUACCACCAUUUGUUGGGCCAUGAGGUUGAGAAUCAAAAUGUUCGUAAUACACUUCCACGUCGUUUUGGUGCACCUGGUCUUCCAGAGCUCAAUGCAUCUCAAGUUUUUGCUGUAAAAAGUGUUCUUCAAAGACCUAUAAGCUUGAUUCAAGGUCCACCUGGCACUGGAAAAACUGUCACUUCUGCUGCCAUUGUUUAUCACAUGGCCAAACAGGGCCAGGGACAGGUUUUGGUAUGUGCCCCAAGUAAUGUAGCUGUAGACCAACUAGCUGAGAAGAUAAGUGCCACUGGCUUGAAGGUUGUUCGCCUUUGUGCUAAAUCAAGGGAAGCUGUAAGUUCCCCUGUUGAGCAUUUGACCCUCCACUAUCAGGUUAGACAUCUUGACACUUCUGAAAAGAGUGAACUUCACAAGUUACAACAAUUGAAAGAUGAACAAGGAGAACUAUCCAGCAGUGAUGAAAAAAAA